UACAGAGGGUGCGAGCGUUAAUCGGAAUUACUGGGCGUAAAGCGCACGUAGGUGGCGACGUAAGUCGGGUGUGAAAGCCCCGGGCUCAACCUGGGAAUUGCAUUCGAGACUGCAUUGCUGGAGUACGGAAGAGGAGGUCUGAAUUCCCGGUGUAGCGGUGAAAUGCGUAGAUAUCGGGAGGAACAUCAGUGGCGAAGGCGGCCCUCUGGUCCAGUACUGACACUCAAGUGCGAAAGCGUUGGGAGCAAACAGG
RNAcentral lists this ribosomal RNA (253 nucleotides) under uncultured bacterium. RNAcentral describes it as "partial 16S ribosomal RNA". It matches the Rfam family "Bacterial small subunit ribosomal RNA", at positions 524 to 776 of the family's 1533-position model. The record is from RNAcentral.